Molecule: ribosomal RNA, 504 nt
Filed under: uncultured bacterium
Lineage: Bacteria
Description: partial 16S ribosomal RNA
Rfam family: Bacterial small subunit ribosomal RNA
Source: RNAcentral
AUUGAACGCUGGCGGCAGGCCUAACACAUGCAAGUCGAACGGUGGCACAGAGAGCUUGCUCUCGGGUGACGAGUGGCGGACGGGUGAGUAACGUCUGGGAAACUGCCCGAUGGAGGGGGAUAACUACUGGAAACGGUAGCUAAUACCGCAUAACGUCGCAAGACCAAAGUGGGGGACCUUCGGGCCUCACACCAUCGGAUGUGCCCAGAUGGGAUUAGCUAGUAGGUGGGGUAAUGGCUCACCUAGGCGACGAUCCCUAGCUGGUCUGAGAGGAUGACCAGCAACACUGGAACUGAGACACGGUCCAGACUCCUACGGGAGGCAGCAGUGGGGAAUAUCGCACAAUGGGCGCAAGCCUGAUGCAGCCAUGCCGCGUGUAUGAAGAAGGCCUUCGGGUUGUAAAGUACUUUCAGCGGGGAGGAAGGCGGUGAAGUUAAUAGCUUCACCGAUUGACGUUACCCGCAGAAGAAGCACCGGCUAACUCCGUGCCAGCCGCCGCCGUAA